Molecule: ribosomal RNA, 503 nt
Filed under: uncultured bacterium
Lineage: Bacteria
Description: partial 16S ribosomal RNA
Rfam family: Bacterial small subunit ribosomal RNA
Source: RNAcentral
AUUGAACGCUGGCGGCAGGCUUAACACAUGCCAGUCGAGCGGGGUGAUAGUGCUUGCACUAUCACUUAGCGGCGGACGGGUGAGUAAUGCUUAGGAAUCUGCCUAUUAGUGGGGGACAACAUCUCGAAAGGGCUGCUAAUACCGCAUACGUCCUACGGGAGAAAGCAGGGGAGCACUUGUGACCUUGCCCUAAUAGAUGAGCCUAAGUGGGCUUAGCUAGUGGGUGGGGUACAGGCGUACCAAGGCGACGAUCUGUAGCGGGGCUGAGAGGAUGAUCCGCCACACUGGGACUGAGAGACGGCCCAGAAUCCUACGGGAGGGAGCAGGUGGGAAUAUUGGACAAUGGGGGGAACCCUGAUCCAGCCAUGCCGCGUGUGUGAAGAAGGCCUUAUGGUUGUAAAGCACUUUAAGCGAGGAGGAGGCUCUUUUGGUUAAUACCCAAGAUGAGUGGACGUUACUCGCAGAAUAAGCACCGGCUAACUCUGUGCCAGCCGCCGCGGUAA